RNAcentral lists this ribosomal RNA (215 nucleotides) under uncultured bacterium. RNAcentral describes it as "partial 16S ribosomal RNA". It matches the Rfam family "Bacterial small subunit ribosomal RNA", at positions 1286 to 1500 of the family's 1533-position model. The record is from RNAcentral.
UCUCAGUUCAGACUGCAGGCUGCAACUCGCCUGCACGAAGUCGGAAUUGCUAGUAAUCGUAGGUCAGCAUACUACGGUGAAUACGUUCCCGGGCCUUGUACACACCGCCCGUCAAACCAUGAGAGUUGGCAACACCCGAAGUCGGUAGUCUAACCGCAAGGAGGGCGCCGCCGAAGGUGGGGUUGAUGAUUAGGGUUAAGUCGUAACAAGGUAUC